Molecule: non-coding RNA, 109 nt
Organism: Hypoxylon sp. FL0890
Lineage: Eukaryota; Fungi; Ascomycota; Sordariomycetes; Xylariales; Hypoxylaceae
Source: the annotation of a GenBank genome assembly
GGGAGUUUGGCCGAGUGGUUAAGGCGUUGUGUUUAGGUCUUCUUCGAGAACAUCUUGAACCUUUGACCCGCAAUGGGAAACCGCGCAGGUUCGAAUCCUGCAGCUCUCA